RNAcentral lists this ribosomal RNA (465 nucleotides) under uncultured bacterium. Its description in RNAcentral is "partial 16S ribosomal RNA". It matches the Rfam family "Bacterial small subunit ribosomal RNA", at positions 28 to 507 of the family's 1533-position model. The record is from RNAcentral.
GACGAACGCUGGCGGCGUGCUUAACACAUGCAAGUCGAACGGAAAGGCCCCCUUGUGGGGUACUCGAGUGGCGAACGGGUGAGUAACACGUGAGUAACCUACCCUUGACUUUGGGAUAACUUCAGGAAACUGGGGCUAAUACCGGAUAGGAGCUCCUGCUGCAUGGUGGGGGUUGGAAAGUUUCGGCGGUUGGGGAUGGACUCGCGGCUUAUCAGCUUGUUGGUGGGGUAGUGGCUCACCAAGGCUUUGACGGGUAGCCGGCCUGAGAGGGUGACCGGCCACAUUGGGACUGAGAUACGGCCCAGACUCCUACGGGAGGCAGCAGUGGGGAAUAUUGCACAAUGGGCGGAAGCCUGAUGCAGCAACGCCGCGUACGGGAUGACGGCCUUCGGGUUGUAAACCGCUUUCGCCUGUGACGAAGCGUGAGUGACGGUAAUGGGUAAAGAAGCACCGGCUAACUACGUG